Long non-coding RNA from Stegostoma tigrinum, 1010 nucleotides. RefSeq lists it as uncharacterized. The transcript is spliced from 3 exons. Lineage: Eukaryota; Metazoa; Chordata; Chondrichthyes; Orectolobiformes; Stegostomatidae. The record is from RefSeq and is a predicted model, not a curated record.
UGUGGAAACAGGCCCUUCGGCCCAACAAGUCCACACUGACCUAUUUCCCCCCCAACUCCCCACCUACACUGGCUCUAACCCCGCCUCUUUGACCUGUCUGUCUCCUCUCACCCUAUCUUCUCCUUUAUCCAUCUUCUAUCUGCCUCCCUAUUUAUUUCAGACUCCCCUUCCCCUCCCCCAUUUCUGAAGAAGGGUCCCAACCCGAAACAUCAAGCUUUCCUGCUCCUCUGAUGCUGCUUGGCCCGCUGUGUUCAUCCAACUUCACACAGUGUUAUCUCUGUAAAUAGGAGGACCUGGAUUGUCCCCACUUGGUUCCACUGAAACUGUGGAGAUCUGGUUGGUUGCACCUCAAAGAUCAUCCUUCAGUCAACGGGAACAUUGAGUCUGGCUUCCAGCAUCGGCAGUCCUUAUUGUCUCCAAGUCAGUGGCAGUAUCCAGACUGGCUGCUUACAAAGAUAAGUGCCCCUGCUGCACUAGCUUUCUUUUAUGUGCAACUCUAACUAUAUUGAGAAAGUGAGUCCUGAUGAAUGGUGUAAACCCAAAACGCCAACUUUCCUGCUCCUCCGAUGCUGCAUGACCUGCUGUGAUCUUCCAGCUCCACAACAAAUUGAGAAAGUGGUGUUGGGCCUUCUUCUUGAACGACUAAAUGUGUGCGUGGAUAUACUAGGAUUCUAACCCAGCAAUAAAGGAACUGUGAUUAAUAAUGUCAGCUUGGUGAAUGACUUGCAGCCCAGGCAUUCCUGAUAUCAACACCUGCUGCCCUAGUUUUCCUUGCAAGUGGAGGUCUAAGGUUUGUGAAGUGCCACUGAUUAACCAUGGAUGAGUUUCCGCUGUGCACACUGUGGAUAGUGCACGCUGCAUGUCAUGGUGCCAGUAGUGCAGUGUGUGAAUAUUUAAGUCUGUGCAUGGUUGGAUUGGCAAUCUAUCAAAUGGGCUGCCUAUGUAACAGGAUUACUCAGAACAAGGAAGUAACAGAAAAAGUACUCAGGAGGUUUAAACAAGUUCGCCAU